This 508-nucleotide ribosomal RNA is filed under the name uncultured Glomus. RNAcentral describes it as "SSU rRNA". It matches the Rfam family "Eukaryotic small subunit ribosomal RNA", at positions 569 to 1081 of the family's 1831-position model. Lineage: Eukaryota; Fungi; Glomeromycota; Glomeromycetes; Glomerales; Glomeraceae. The record is from RNAcentral.
AGCAGCCGCGGUAAUUCCAGCUCCAAUAGCGUAUAUUAAAGUUGCUGCAGUUAAAAAGCUCGUAGUUGAAUUUCGGGAUCAAUAUGUUGGUCGUGCCUCGGUACGUACUAGCUUAUUGAUUUCUCCCUUCUGACGAACCAUGAUGUCAUUUAUUUGGUGUUAUGGGAAAUCAGGACUGUUACUUUGAAAAAAUUAGAGUGUUUAAAGCAGGCUCACGCUUGAAUACAUUAGCAUGGAAUAAUGAAAUAGGACGUUUGAUUCUAUUUUGUUGGUUUCUAGGAUCGACGUAAUGAUUAAUAGGGAUAGUUGGGGGCAUUAGUAUUCAAUUGUCAGAGGUGAAAUUCUUGGAUUUAUUGAAGACUAACUACUGCGAAAGCAUUUGCCAAGGAUGUUUUCAUUAAUCAAGAACGAAAGUUAGGGGAUCGAAGACGAUCAGAUACCGUCGUAGUCUUAACCAUAAACUAUGCCGACUAGGGAUCGGAUGAUGUUAAUUUUUAAUGACUCAUUC